GCCAGGUGCGGUGGCUCGCGCCUGUAAUCCCAGCACUUUAGGAGGCUGAGGCGGGUGGAUCACCUGAGGUCAGGAAUUCGAGACCAGCCUGGCCAACAUGGUGAAACCCCGUCUCUA
This is an unclassified non-coding RNA of Callithrix jacchus (white-tufted-ear marmoset), 117 nucleotides long. It matches the Rfam family "Metazoan signal recognition particle RNA". Rfam says of the family: The signal recognition particle (SRP) is a universally conserved ribonucleoprotein. NCBI's taxonomy places the organism in Eukaryota, Metazoa, Chordata, Mammalia, Primates, Cebidae. The record is from Ensembl.